RNAcentral lists this ribosomal RNA (253 nucleotides) under uncultured bacterium. RNAcentral's name for it is "partial 16S ribosomal RNA". It matches the Rfam family "Bacterial small subunit ribosomal RNA", at positions 524 to 776 of the family's 1533-position model. The record is from RNAcentral.
UACGAGGGGUCCUAGCGUUGUUCGGAAUCACUGGGCGUAAAGCGUAUGUAGGCGGCUCUGUAAGUCGGGUGUGAAAGCCCUGGGCUCAACCCAGGAAGUGCACUCGAUACUGCAGAGCUUGAAUAUGAAAGAGGGUAGUGGAAUUCCAGGUGUAGUGGUGAAAUACGUAGAUAUCUGGAGGAACUCCGGUGGCGAAGGCGGCUACCUGGUUCAAUAUUGACGCUGAGAUACGAAAGCGUGGGGAUCAAACAGG